This is a long non-coding RNA of Argentina anserina (silverweed cinquefoil), 1085 nucleotides long. RefSeq lists it as uncharacterized. The record is from RefSeq and is a predicted model, not a curated record. The transcript has 4 exons. Lineage: Eukaryota; Viridiplantae; Streptophyta; Magnoliopsida; Rosales; Rosaceae.
CUCCUUCAAUGACGGAGAGCAGUGGUCGACUAAUUUCACACAAACCACGGUGGAAAUCUGCGGAACUCAUCUGGAAUUGGCAGAAUCUCGUGGGUUCAGGUCUUGAUCACACUGUGGAAGUAAUGUAUUCGACGUGAAGUAAAUUUUCGUCAAGGCAGGUGGGGGUGGUGGCAGAAGAGAUAGAUAGGAAUUGUGAUAUUCCGCUGAGUUUUGAAGACGCAUUUCCAUCAGUUUGCAAUUGGGUUUGUCAGAUCCUUAUGUGCAACAGUGGAUUACAGGAUACAGAAUCCCUUAAAUGAUAAGUCAUAGACUUUCUCAUUUUUUCCUUAUCAACGCACAUGAGAAGCAAUGCAGUUAGUGUAGAUGAAGAAGAAUAUGAACAGUCAACCACCCACUUCAGAUUUCAGCCAGUCCAUUUUUCAUUUGUGACCACGCUCUCAGCUGAUUUCGUUGUUGGAAAAUUAAAGUUUAUGAAACAAAGAUUUGCAAAAUCUGAAAUCACAUAUCUACUUGUCAUACUUCAUGCGUAAGAAUUGUAGUGAUGAUGGCUCAUUUUGGUGAAAGGAAACUGAAGAUGAAUCUGUCCAGUUCUGGCUUUAAUUUUCAAGUGUGAGUCCUUUUCAAAUUACUGUAUAUAUGUGCAGGAGUAGAACAUGGGGUUGAACAAGCACAAGAUUGAUUAUUAGUGGACGAUUACAUGUCCUUGCCAUUUACUCAAAAUGUAAGUCCCAUAAUGUAUUAUUUACAGUGUGCUCAUGAUAUUGCAUAUUCCUUACUCUUAUUUUGCUAAAACUAAAUUUGAGGAUGUUGAUUUUGGAUCUGAAGGUGAUUAGUGAGACUCUAAGAAUGGCAAAUAUUAUCAAUGCUAUUUGAAGAAAAGCUCUUUGAGAUGUCGAAAUCAAAGGGUAUUUGAUUCCAAUAGGAUGGUGUGUUUUGGUGUCUUUAGUUCUAUGCACAUGGAUGAAGAGAACUAUGAACAUCCAUAUCAGUUUGUUCCAUGGAGAUGGGAGGUAAGUUAGAGGUUUAUUAACUAGUUUUAUAUUUCACUUUCUCUUGAUGAUAAUUCAAACUCUGUGUCUUUGCUU